This is a long non-coding RNA of Mya arenaria, 237 nucleotides long. RefSeq lists it as uncharacterized. The transcript has 3 exons. NCBI's taxonomy places the organism in Eukaryota, Metazoa, Mollusca, Bivalvia, Myida, Myidae. The record is from RefSeq and is a predicted model, not a curated record.
UUGCAGCUUGUCAAAAUAGUUAUUUGAAAUGAUUUAAUUACCAAAAGAAUGGACAGAGAAGUUCUUUGCGAAAGUUUAAUUGUCUGGUUGGAGACAUUUAAUCUGGAUGUUCCUCACGGCAACGCAGAAGAGCUCAGUGAUGGAAUUGCCAUGUCAAAGGUGCUGCAUCAAAUUGCCCCUGACUAUUUCACGGACUCAUGGCUGAGCAGGGUAAAAACUGAGGAUGUGACCAACUGG